Molecule: long non-coding RNA, 450 nt
Filed under: Citrus maxima (pomelo)
Lineage: Eukaryota; Viridiplantae; Streptophyta; Magnoliopsida; Sapindales; Rutaceae
Description: long non-coding RNA (CMAX_LNC003854)
Source: RNAcentral
UUUAUCAAAUAACCUCCAAGUGUCGGUAGAUUUCUAAUCAUAAUAUUAUCGUAGAUGACGAUGAAUGGAUGAAAUUUAUCAUCUCAUCCAAACUGUUUUUUUUUUUUUUUUUUUAUAACAGAAAAGAAAGAAAAAAUAAUUCAAAAAGAAAAUAGCUAGGAAACAAAAUGAAUUAGGACAUGGUACGCAGCCGGCUUUAGGGUUUUUGCAGAGACUGAAGAAAAAUCAAACCCAAAACCAAAAGAAACAGCACAGCUAGACACAUGACUUUUGCAUUCAAGCUCUCUUGUUCAUUCAUUCAUUAUCAUUUAUCGAACACCUCAACACAACUUGAUGCUCACUGUUCACUUCACUUUACCCUACAAACAGACUUUUCCCCUAGUCGUCAUCGCCACCCCAUUCCCACGGCACCCACAUGGAAGCCCACCGUUUCUAAGUUCUUAAUCAAUC